Molecule: non-coding RNA, 83 nt
Organism: Tricholoma furcatifolium
Lineage: Eukaryota; Fungi; Basidiomycota; Agaricomycetes; Agaricales; Tricholomataceae
Source: the annotation of a GenBank genome assembly
GCCCGCCUAGCUCAAUCGGCCAGAGCGUCAGACUUUUAAGGAAGGGCAUCUGAAGGCUGCGAGUUCGACCCUCGCGGUGGGCU